AGCAGCCGCGGUAAUUCCAGCUCCAAUAGCGUAUAUUAAAGUUGUUGUAGUUAAAAAGCUCGUAGUUGAAUUUCGGAGUUUAUCGGUUGGUCGGGCUUCACUGUCCGCACUGACCUGAUGGAUUCCUACCUUCUGAAUAACCAGCAUGCUAUUAAAUUAGUGCGUUGGGGAAGCAGAGCUAUUACCUUGAAAAAAUUAGAGUGCUUAAAGCAGGCUUAUGCUUGAAUAGAUUAGCAUGGAAUAAUAAAAUAGGACGGCAUGGUUCUAUUUUGUUGGUUUCUAGGAUCACCGUAAUGAUUAAUAGGGAUAGUUGGGGGCAUUAGUAUUCAAUUGUCAGAGGUGAAAUUCUUGGAUUUAUUGAGGACUAACUUCUGCGAAAGCAUUUUGCCAAGGAUGUUUUCAUUAAUCAAGAACGAAAGCUAGGGGAUCGAAGACGAUCAGAUACCGUCGUAGUCUUAACCAUAAACUAUGCCGACUAGGGAUCGGACGAUGUAAUUUUUAAUGACUCGUUCGGCGCCUU
This 520-nucleotide ribosomal RNA is filed under the name uncultured Acaulospora. RNAcentral's name for it is "SSU rRNA". It matches the Rfam family "Eukaryotic small subunit ribosomal RNA", at positions 569 to 1089 of the family's 1831-position model. The record is from RNAcentral. Lineage: Eukaryota; Fungi; Glomeromycota; Glomeromycetes; Diversisporales; Acaulosporaceae.